This 349-nucleotide unclassified non-coding RNA is filed under the name soil metagenome. RNAcentral describes it as "partial contains 5.8S ribosomal RNA, internal transcribed spacer 2, and large subunit ribosomal RNA". The stretch from base 1 to 120 matches the Rfam family "5.8S ribosomal RNA", at positions 35 to 154 of the family's 154-position model. The record is from RNAcentral.
GAUGAAGAACGUAGUGAACUGCGAUAAGUAAUGUGAAUUGCAGAAUUCAGUGAAUCAUCGAGUCUUUGAACGCACAUUGCGCCCCCUGGCAUUCCGGGGGGCAUGCCUGUCCGAGCGUCAUUGCUGCCCUUCAAGCCCGGCUUGUGUGUUGGGUCGUCGUCCCCCCCGGGGGACGGGCCCGAAAGGCAGCGGCGGCACCGCGUCCGGUCCUCGAGCGUAUGGGGCUUUGUCACCCGCUCGAUUAGGGCCGGCCGGGCGCCAGCCGGCGUCUCCAACCUUCUAUUUUACCAGGUUGACCUCGGAUCAGGUAGGGAUACCCGCUGAACUUAAGCAUAUCAAAAGCGGAGGA